Non-coding RNA from Peromyscus maniculatus bairdii (prairie deer mouse), 2426 nucleotides. Lineage: Eukaryota; Metazoa; Chordata; Mammalia; Rodentia; Cricetidae. The record is from RefSeq and is a predicted model, not a curated record.
GCCAAAUCUCACGCACGAGCGGUUCCGGGUGCUCCAAAACUUGUUCGCGAAGUACCCGGAGAAAGAGCGCGGGGUGGGCGAGCCCCAGCUGCAGCCGAGACGCGGCGUCCAAGCCUGCGAGCAACACGGGAGUCAGCCGGCGGCAGAGCGGAACGGCGCUGCCCUGCCCGACGCUGUCCCACACAAGUCACUUCCACGGGGAGGAUGCUGCGGGGACACCGGGAGGCGUUGAAGUUAUCCUCGCCCUCACGGAGAAAGGAGCGAAGCGGAGCUGAAAGUGUAGAAAACGCCGGAGCACCGUAGGGGCCUGGUGGGAAAAUACAGAGCACUGCACAGGAGGACGGCGUGCAUCCGUGGGGCAGCGCAAGGGAGGAGGCUUCUGGAACUGGCCUGGGAAGAGGUGGAGUUUUGCAGGAAGACCUUGGGGCCUCAGAUGGAGGCCUUUGGACGCUGCGUUCCAGUGACUGAAGACGCCAGAGGCUGGGGCAUGGUGACGAGUGGCAGAGACAACUGGAAAUGGGGCACAACUUCCAAAUGGGAGGAUUUGUAUUUAAGGCAGCGUUUCGUUUUCUAGGUUUAGAAGUUGGGAGGAAGAAAAGGCGUUUGCUUUCUAAGUACUGUCUGAAGGAAAGCAGACGUUAGCGAUGGAAAACUGACAGCCCCAUGUAGACCAGUUCACGUCCCUGGACGCAGACUGCUUUUCUCAGCCUACAGUGGGACUUGCCGGAGUCUUUUCUUGAGCAGUGUGCUUCCUCCAGGUGUUUCCUCCUUCUGCCAACUGGACCCAGGACACAGCAGCUCGGCUUCGAUUAUCUAGAUUCUUGGAAGCACCUGGAAGUGGCAGAGCCACAAGAAAGCGCCUGGAGGAAGAGGAGCUUCUGAUGCUUGACCCAGAACACCCAAUUAUGUGAUGAUGUGUAGACUUGGAUUGAACUAGAGCCUUAAGACUUUGGGGUUCAUUUGUUGUAGCCAUUUGGCCUCCUCUACUUAACAUGGCAUUAACUAAAACUCAUAAAGGAAGAAUAGAACUUGGCAUGUCUGAGUGAAGAAAAGUGAUCAGAUGGAACUUUCCAGACACCACUAAACCCUUCAGUGAAGGGCCAAGAAAUUAGAGGGGACUAGUCAACCAGUCUUACAUUCUCCAGGCCAUGUGAGGCACUGAGGAGAUAGUGUGGGCACUAUGCGGGACAGGGAGCUGGCCAGGAAGUAUAAUAGGGGAGAAGGACAAGGUAUUUGAAGGUAGAAACAAAGGAAGCAUUAUUAUGUCAAGCAUGGUAGGAGAGAAGCUUAAGAAGAGGGUAAGGAGUAGCUAGAAAUAUGAUAAGGUUGGGGCUGGAAAUGUGGCUCGGUGGUUAAGAGCACUGGCUGCUGUCCAAAGGACCUGGGUGGGUCUGAUUCCCAGCACCCACAUGGUGGAUCACAAACAUCUGUAACUCCAAUCCCAGGAGAUAUUCUGGCCUCCACAGGCACCAGGCAUGAAUGUGGUGCAUAGAUAUAUAUGCAGGCAAACAUCUGAAAACAUUAAAGAAAAUAUGGUAAACUUUCUAAACUGGAGCAUUUGACCAGGUUAAGUAAUUUCUAGAAUUCAGGUGCUGUGGAACAAUCUUUGUACACUGUAUGUAUUUCUCUCAUUGUUAAUAAAAAGCUGAUUGGAUGAUGGCUAGGCAGGAUUUGGGGCAGAGAGAAUGCUGGGAAGGAGGGCGGAGUGGGGGGAGUCGCCAGACAGACAGGAAGCAGGACAUGCAGGAAAGGUAAAGCUCACAAGCCCCAGGACAGCACACAUAUUAAUAGAAAUGGGUUAAUUUAAGUUGUAAGAGCUAGUUAGUAAUAAGCCUGAGCUAUGGGCUGAGCAUUUAUAAUUAAUAAUGAGUAUCUGAGUGGUUAUUUGGGAAGUGGCUGGCGGAGCAGAGCUGAUUGUGUUCCCAAUGAAAGACUCCACCUACAUUUGGGUCAUUCCUAUGGGGAAUGACCUAAAACAGCACAAGUGAAAAGUAGAAUCUGCACAUUAAAAUUAAAAGGAGAUCUGUGUAGCAAAUCUUGCUUUGUACCACCAACUUCCAAAUGAUGACAUGGAGACUUCUUAUUAAUUACGAAAAACUCAGCCUUUAGCUUAGGCUUGUUCCCAACUAACUCUUAUAACUUAAACUAACCCGCUUCUAUUAACCUAUAUUUUUCUACAUGUCUUUUUUACCUCUCCUCCAUUCUGUAUGUCCAAAUUGAUCUGGAUCUCACUGGUGUCUCCCCACUUCUUCUUCCCAGAGUCUUUUUUCUCCUUGGAAAUCCUGCCUUGUCAGAAGUGAUUGUCAUGAGCUAUUGCAGGCCAUGAUGUAAUUACAGCUUAUAGCAAUUGAUAAUUCAGAUAUCAACCCACCAGAGGAAUGAUUCUCUGAUGGGACACCUGCUAUGGGAUGUUCUGUAUGUUAAAU